UCAAUUCCCACCUCCCUACCUCAGCCCGGUUCAACCUGUCAGGCUGGCCUUGACAAAUUGGUGCCUGAAACCAGGGACCUGAGGACUUGGGAAGCAGACCGUGAGGAACUCCUCCAGAUAAAGAGUGCACUCGUUAAGGUCAAGAUGGAGGACGAAGUGGAACAAGAAGUCACUCCACCAUUCAAGAGGCUACGAAUCAGCCCACUGGCGCCCGUGCCGCCGCCGCUGCCACGGAGAUCGCGGACGACUCGGAGGACGUCUCCACCAACUUGGGGACAGCUGAAGAAGCUGACACCGGAGGCCGAGGCCAUGGUCGUUCGCCAGGGAGCACAACGAACUGCUGAGACUUUGUUUCUAGCCAUGCUGUCAAUUUUGGCUGUUCAGGUCUUACUGCUUGUGUACCUACUCCUUACUUUCUCCUUAUUGGGAUUGUACAUAUUGUACUUAAGGGCAACUUGUAUACAAUUUCUUGUACUCAUUGCAAC
Molecule: long non-coding RNA, 485 nt
Organism: Myotis daubentonii (Daubenton's bat)
Lineage: Eukaryota; Metazoa; Chordata; Mammalia; Chiroptera; Vespertilionidae
Exons: 3
Source: RefSeq, a predicted model, not a curated record